AGAGUUUGAUCAUGGCUCAGAACGAACGUUGGCGGCGUGGAUUAGGCAUGCAAGUCGAACGAAUCCCAGACCUGUAGCAAUACAGGGAUGGGGGAAGUGGCGAAAGGGGCAGUAAGGCGUGGGUAACCUACCCCGGGGACCGGGAUAGCCUUCCUAACGGAAGGGUAAUACCGGGCGAUGCGGCCGAGAGGCAUCUUUUGGCCGUGAGAUGAAUUUCGCCUCGGGAGGGGCUCACGUGAUAUUAGCUUGUUGGUGGGGUAACGGCCUACCAAGGCAAAGAUGUCUAGCGGGUGUGAGAGCACGACCCGCGCCACUGGCACUGAGACACUGGCCAGACUCCUACGGGAGGCUGCAGUCGAGGAUCUUCGGCAAUGGGCGCAAGCCUGACCGAGCGACGCCGCGUGUGCGAUGAAGGCCUUCGGGUUGUAAAGCACUGUCGAAGGGGAGGAAGCCGAAAGGUUGACCUAUCCCUGGAGGAAGCACGGGCUAAGUUCGUGCCAGCAGCCGCGGUAAGACGAACCGUGCGAACGUUGUUCGGAAUCACUGGGCUUAAAGGGCGCGUAGGCGGGCAGUCAAGUCCGGGGUGAAAUCUUUCGGCUCAACCGGAAAAGUGCCUUGGAUACUGAUUGUCUAGAGGGAGAUAGGGGUAUGUGGAACUUCCGGUGGAGCGGUGAAAUGCGUUGAUAUCGGAAGGAACGCCGGUGGCGAAAGCGACGUACUGGAUCUCUUCUGACGCUGAGCGCGAAAGCCAGGGGAGCGAACGGGAUUAGAUACCCCGGUAGUCCUGGCCCUAAACGAUGGGUACUAGGUAGUAGACUUUCAUGGGUUUACUGCCGAAGCAAAAGUGGUAAGUACCCCGCCUGGGGAGUAUGGUCGCAAGGCUGAAACUCAAAGGAAUUGACGGGGCUCACAACAAGCGGUGGGAGCAUGUGG
RNAcentral lists this ribosomal RNA (933 nucleotides) under uncultured bacterium. RNAcentral describes it as "bacterial SSU rRNA". It matches the Rfam family "Bacterial small subunit ribosomal RNA", at positions 8 to 944 of the family's 1533-position model. The record is from RNAcentral.